Long non-coding RNA from Photinus pyralis (common eastern firefly), 433 nucleotides. RefSeq lists it as uncharacterized. NCBI's taxonomy places the organism in Eukaryota, Metazoa, Arthropoda, Insecta, Coleoptera, Lampyridae. The record is from RefSeq and is a predicted model, not a curated record. The transcript is spliced from 2 exons.
GUGUAAUUACCUCUGCGUACUAGUUUUUAGCACUAACAUUAGUCAGUUAUACUAGCCCUGGGCAUAGAGGAAAUUGUAUUUCCUCUAUGCCCUGGGUCUAGUCUGUAGACCAGUUUAUGGAAGCAAUUCAGGGUGGUUCGUGCCCUUAUUUUAAUGUAACUGGAUUGAACCAGAAUCAGAUGUCGUAUCAGGAAUAAUUCAUACUUUAUCUCAUCUGAUAUCGCCAUGAAACAAAGCGAAGCGUAUCACCAAAAAGGCAAUACAUAAUGAAAAAUUACGUAAAAUGCGCAAUUGAAAUUUAAAGAUGGCAAGCAGAACUAUACUACAUUCUGGAAGUAGCCGGUAGAUCUAGAGUGGGGGCAAAUGAAAAUGACAAAUUUUAUAGAAUUAUACUAAAUAUUUUCCAUCUCUCAAGUAAAAUGUGUUACAUAUA